GUGACGAUCUUUUGGGCGGAACCAAAAGUCGGGAAACUUUGGUUCCGCCCGGAUGUUUCCGUCCAGACCGAAGAACGGAAACACCGGACAUCCGGCAGAUUUGCGGAGGCUGUAAUCAGCCGAUUGGGCACAGCUGUGCCUAGUUAAAAGAGAUCGCCAGGCAAUUGGAUAACUGAAGCACAGAAAGGAGUAUUUAAAGCACAGUUAAAUGACAGUUCAGCAGUUCGGGCACGAGAGGGGGAUUUACACGGGGAGAGCUCCUCUGCUUAGGGCAGGAGAGGUAAAUACGUACCUUUUGAAGAGCCCGCAGGCUCUGUUGAUCCGGGCUGCGCUAGAAGCGCGCGGAAAGAAGACAGGAGCUGCCUGGGGUGAAAGAAAGGCGAUACGUGAGUGGAGAAAAGGAGCACCCCGAAGAGAGCAUUGUGCUGUCAAGCCUGCGCUUAGUGUGUGCUGGGAAACGGAGCUGUGCUCAUUUUUGGACGUGGUGGCUGUCUGUGUUUUUCUCUCUCUCUCUCGUUUCAGUCUGUAUUGUGGACCUGCUGGAGUCAAUAGAAAAGCCCUAUGGGUAAGAAGGAACUUUGUUCUAACCAACAUUGAAGGAGUAAAGCAGGAAGAGAUAUUGACCGUUUGGUACAACGUAAAUAAAGGCUAUCCGCCGUGAGUAUACCCUUUCUGUGUGGAGUAACUUGCAAAAAUUAACUUGUGUAACCAUUGGAAACCUCCAGGAGAAGGAGGGCGGCCCUACCCCUACAAGAGUGUGGUGGGCGAGCCGUUAGCAGUACAAAGUUCAAACAGCCACCGCUACGAGACUUAUUGUGGUCGUAUUUCCCAUCGCCUUACCUUAGCCCAAGCGCAGUGGAGGACACCGGGCGCUUCCCUUGUUGUGGUGCACUUAUAGUGUGAGUCAGAGGCGAAAGGGUCCGCCGCCCCGUGGUCUCUACGAAAAGGGCGCCCCCGUCAAGGAAUCGAUCGGCCUAUGGGCAUUGGAGAUAGGGCAGCGCUCGACCGGGUGAGGUGGUGUGUGACCUUCGCCCCUCUGCUGACCUACGGAGGAGAACGUGAUACCUACCCAGAAAGUUGUAAACAGCAAAGCCGGUGAGAAAUACUCGAAGUCUCAGUAACAGUGUCUUUGUGUCCUGGCGGCCACCUGUGGAGAGAGAGCAGAACGAAAGUGAACCAUUGAAGAGCAGACUGUGAACGUGAUACCUACCUGAAAAGCUGUAAACAGCAGAGCCGGUGAGAAAUACUCGAAGUCUCAGUAACAGUGUCUUUGUGUCCUAGCGGCCACCUGUGGAGAGAGAGAGAACGAAAGUGAAUCAUUGAGGAGCAGACUGUGAACGUGAUACCUACCCAGAAAGCUGUAAACAGCAGAGCCGGUGAGAAAUACUCGAAGCCUCAGUAACAGUGUCUUUGUGUCCUAGCGGCCACCUGUGGAGAGAGAGCAGAACGAAAGUGAAACAUUGAAGAGCAGACUGUGAACGUGAUACCUACCCAGAAAGCUGUAAACAGCAGAGCCGUGGCCUCCUGUGGAGAGAACGGAAAACGAGAAGGAACAUGAGGAAAAUGGACUGUGUGAAGAUACAGUGGUGGUGGAGGAGAGCCUAGAGUGGCCAUUGUUUUAAGUCCCCCGUUCCCCUUCCUUAUUUAAUGCUUUUAAGUAAUUUAAUAAAGGAUAUUUUAAUUUUA
Long non-coding RNA from Paramisgurnus dabryanus, 1686 nucleotides. RefSeq lists it as uncharacterized. The record is from RefSeq and is a predicted model, not a curated record. NCBI's taxonomy places the organism in Eukaryota, Metazoa, Chordata, Actinopteri, Cypriniformes, Cobitidae.